GAUGAACGCUGGCGGCGUGCCUAAUACAUGCAAGUCGAGCGAACAGACGAGGAGCUUGCUCCUCUGACGUUAGCGGCGGACGGGUGAGUAACACGUGGAUAACCUACCUAUAAGACUGGGAUAACUUCGGGAAACCGGAGCUAAUACCGGAUAAUAUAUUGAACCGCAUGGUUCAAUAGUGAAAGACGGUUUUGCUGUCACUUAUAGAUGGAUCCGCGCCGCAUUAGCUAGUUGGUAAGGUAACGGCUUACCAAGGCAACGAUGCGUAGCCGACCUGUGAGGGUGAUCGGCCACACUGGAACUGAGCCACGGUCCAGACUCCUACGGGAGGCAGCAGUCGGGAAUCUUCCGCAAUGGGCGAAAGCCUUACGGAGCAACGCCGCGUGAGUGAUGAAGGUCUUCGGAUCGUAAAACUCUGUUAUUAGGGAAGAACAAAUGUGUAAGUAACUAUGCACGUCUUGACGGUACCUAAUCAGAAAGCCACGGCUAACUACGUG
RNAcentral lists this ribosomal RNA (497 nucleotides) under uncultured bacterium. RNAcentral describes it as "partial 16S ribosomal RNA". It matches the Rfam family "Bacterial small subunit ribosomal RNA", at positions 28 to 507 of the family's 1533-position model. The record is from RNAcentral.